UGAAAAGAGAGACUGACCUAGCCGCCCAGCCUACAUCUUUCUCCCAUGCUGGAUACUUCCUGCCUUCGAACACGGAACUUCAAGUUCUUCCGUUUUGGAACUUGGACUGUCUCUCCUUGCUCCUCAGUCUUUAGACAGCCUACUGUGGGACCUUGUGAUCAUGAACAACUAUCCUGAGCUGCUGUUCAUGAUUCAGGUUGGCAUCAAUCAAAUUGGAAGCACAUGAAUUAUACAUUAUUGUUUCUGAGCCACAGUUAUCUUCUACAGCACAUCUUUUGAGUAAAGACAUGCAAGUAGUACUGAAACGACUGCAAUGUGAUAAUCACGGAGACUGGACUGGUUCAACAUCCAGAUGUUUCGAUUUUUUUGAUAAAUCAAUCUCCAAGGUUCAGCUCAUUCACAGUGUGAGGCUACUUACCUGUUCAAAGUACAUCACUUUUGUCCUCCAGUUUUCAUAUUGGCUUCCUGUCAAGAUAAGACAUCAGAAAGAAAAUAACACAACUUUUCUAAAGGUCAGUGGGACAUCACAGAAAAAUGAUGUAUCAAGACCUUCGGUUAAUCAAAUUAAUGAUGUAAACUCUAUGAAGCAAAGACAUUGUGUUGUUCACAGCUGUAUCUACAAAGCCUGGAUUAGUGGUUGGGUGCACGAUGAUUAGGAACAUCCUGUCUGAUGCACUGACAUUUGGGCAGUAAGCCAAAUAAUGAGGAGAAGUGAGCCAUGCUAAUACCUAGAAGGACGGCUUUCCAGGAGAAGGGAACACUAAGGGUAAAAGCCUGAGGCAGCACAAAGGA
RNAcentral lists this long non-coding RNA (792 nucleotides) under Homo sapiens (human). RNAcentral's name for it is "HSALNT0368692". Lineage: Eukaryota; Metazoa; Chordata; Mammalia; Primates; Hominidae. The record is from RNAcentral.